GAAGGCUCUAGGGUUGUAAAGCACUUUCAGUAGGGAGGAGGGCCAGAGUGUUAAUAGCGCUUUGGAUUGACGUUACCUACAGAAGCAGCACCGGCUAACUCCGUGCCAGCAGCCGCGGUAAUACGGAGGGUGCAAGCGUUAAUCGGAAUUACUGGGCGUAAAGCGCGCGUAGGUGGUUUGUUAAGUGUGAUGUGAAAGCCCAGGGCUCAACCUUGGAACUGCAUCACAUACUGGCAAGCUAGAGUACGGUAGAGGGGGGUAGAAUUCCAUGUGUAGCGGUGAAAUGCGUAGAGAUGUGGAGGAAUACCAGUGGCGAAGGCGGCCCCCUGGAUCGAUACUGACGCUGAGGUGCGAAAGCGUGUGGAGCACACAGGAUUAGAUACCCUGGUAGUCCACGCCGUAUACGAUGUCAACUAGCCGUUGGGAGGGUAGUCCUUUUAGUGUCGCAGCUGACGCUC
RNAcentral lists this ribosomal RNA (458 nucleotides) under uncultured Gammaproteobacteria bacterium. RNAcentral describes it as "bacterial SSU rRNA". It matches the Rfam family "Bacterial small subunit ribosomal RNA", at positions 410 to 860 of the family's 1533-position model. The record is from RNAcentral. Lineage: Bacteria; Pseudomonadati; Pseudomonadota; Gammaproteobacteria.